UGGGCGUAAGGGCUCGCAGGCGGUUUCUUAAGUCUGAUGUGAAAGCCCCCGGCUCAACCGGGGAGGGUCAUUGGAAACUGGGAAACUUGAGUGCAGAAGAGGAGAGUGGAAUUCCACGUGUAGCGGUGAAAUGCGUAGAGAUGUGGAGGAACACCAGUGGCGAAGGCGACUCUCUGGUCUGUAACUGACGCUGAGGAGCGAAAGCGUGGGGAGCGAACAGGAUUAGAUACCCUGGUAGUCCACGCCGUAAACGAUGAGUGCUAAGUGUUAGGGGGUUUCCGCCCCUUAGUGCUGCAGCUAACGCAUUAAGCACUCCGCCUGGGGAGUACGGUCGCAAGACUGAAACUCAAAGGAAUUGACGGGGGCCCGCACAAGCGGUGGAGCAUGUGGUUUAAUUCGAAGCAACGCGAAGAACCUUACGAGGUCUUGACGUCCUCUGACAACCCUACACAUAGGGCUUUCCCUUCGGGGACAGAGUGACAGGUGGUGCAUGGUUGUCGUCAGCUCUUGUCGUGAGAUGUUGGGUUAAGUCCCGCAACCAGCGCAACCCUUG
This 553-nucleotide ribosomal RNA is filed under the name Bacillus pumilus. Its description in RNAcentral is "bacterial SSU rRNA". It matches the Rfam family "Bacterial small subunit ribosomal RNA", at positions 555 to 1107 of the family's 1533-position model. Lineage: Bacteria; Bacillati; Bacillota; Bacilli; Caryophanales; Bacillaceae. The record is from RNAcentral.